GACGAACCGUGCGAACGUUAUUCGGAAUCACUGGGCUUAAAGCGCGUGUAGGCGGAUCGGCGCGUCGGCGACUGAAAGCCCCCGGCUCAACCGGGGAAGCGGCGCCGAAACGGCCGGUCUGGAGGGGCGUAGGGGGACCUGGAACUUCCGGUGGAGCGGUGAAAUGCGUUGAGAUCGGAAGGAACGCCCGUGGCGAAAGCGAGGUCCUGGACGCCUGCUGACGCUGAGACGCGAAAGCCAGGGGAGCGAA
This 250-nucleotide ribosomal RNA is filed under the name uncultured bacterium. RNAcentral's name for it is "partial 16S ribosomal RNA". It matches the Rfam family "Bacterial small subunit ribosomal RNA", at positions 524 to 772 of the family's 1533-position model. The record is from RNAcentral.